GGCUUGGUGGCAUAACGGUAACACACUCCGUGUCCUUAUGCAAUGUUCACAUAUUGUUUGACGGAAAGUUCGGAGUUCGAUUCUCCGUCAAGCCA
This is a non-coding RNA of Mycena latifolia, 95 nucleotides long. Lineage: Eukaryota; Fungi; Basidiomycota; Agaricomycetes; Agaricales; Mycenaceae. The record is from the annotation of a GenBank genome assembly.